RNAcentral lists this long non-coding RNA (265 nucleotides) under Homo sapiens (human). RNAcentral describes it as "HSALNT0153097". Lineage: Eukaryota; Metazoa; Chordata; Mammalia; Primates; Hominidae. The record is from RNAcentral.
AAAACUCUGCUGUCUGAAAUAAAAGCAAGGCACUCUCCAUUAACAGCUGGUGGCUUCCUGAUUUCCGCCCACAGAAGGCAUGUUCACACUGAGAGAGCGGGUGUCCAGGAAGAGCUUGUCAAUGAUGGAAGGUGGAGACACCAAGUCUUCCAGCUUCAGGUAGAAGAUGCGCUGGAGGCCCAGGGUGCAGGUCUUUUAAACUGCUUGUGAUCUUGUUGCAUAGCUCUUCGACUCUCUUUGGUUCUUUUAACCCAUGUCUUUCUGC